RNAcentral lists this unclassified non-coding RNA (330 nucleotides) under soil metagenome. RNAcentral's name for it is "partial contains 5.8S ribosomal RNA, internal transcribed spacer 2, and large subunit ribosomal RNA". The stretch from base 1 to 120 matches the Rfam family "5.8S ribosomal RNA", at positions 35 to 154 of the family's 154-position model. The record is from RNAcentral.
GAUGAAGAACGCAGCGAAAUGCGAUAAGUAGUGUGAAUUGCAGAAUUCAGUGAAUCAUCGAAUCUUUGAACGCACAUUGCGCCCUCUGGUAUUCCGGGGGGCAUGCCUGUUCGAGCGUCAUUACAACCCUCAAGCUUUGCUUGGUAUUGGACAUUGCCAGUUUCUGGCAGGUCUUAAAAUCAGUGGCGGUGCCAUUUGGCUUCAAGCGUAGUAAUUCUUCUCGCUUUGGAGAUCCAGGUGGUUACUUGCCAAUAACCCCCAAUUUUUUCAGGUUGACCUCGGAUCAGGUAGGGAUACCCGCUGAACUUAAGCAUAUCAAUAAGCGGAGGA